This is a non-coding RNA of Rattus norvegicus (Norway rat), 2460 nucleotides long. The record is from RefSeq and is a predicted model, not a curated record. NCBI's taxonomy places the organism in Eukaryota, Metazoa, Chordata, Mammalia, Rodentia, Muridae.
AGACAGCCGGGCCUGGAGGUCUGCCCGCGAGACGGACACGCUGUCCAUGCUCUCCGCCUCCAGAAGGACUCUCCAGCUCCUCUCCAGCUCCAUCCCGGUACGGAUGAUGGGCGACUCAUCUUCGAAGGUCAUCAGCGCGGAGGAAGCUUUGCCAGGACGCACAGAGUCGAUCCCCGUAGCAGCCAAACACCAUGUCAGUGGCAACAGAACGGUUGAACCUUUCCCAGAGGGAACACAGAUGGCUGUAUUUGGAAUGGGCUGCUUCUGGGGAGCUGAGCGCAAGUUCUGGCUCUUGAAAGGAGUGUAUUCAACCCAAGUGGGUUUCGCAGGAGGCUACACACGCAAUCCCACCUACAAAGAGGUCUGCUCAGAAAAAACCGGUCACGCAGAAGUCGUCCGGGUUGUGUACCGGCCAGAGCACGUCAGCUUUGAGGAGCUGCUCAAGGUCUUCUGGGAGAAUCACGACCCGACCCAAGGGAUGCGCCAAGGCAAUGACUGUGGCACGCAGUAUCGAUCGGCGGUCUAUCCCACCUCCGCCGUGCAGAUGGAAGCUGCCCUGAAAUCCAAGGAGGAGUACCAGAAGCUCAUAAAAAUCAUCAGUGACUGGCUCCCACCCAGAUUGGGACUUUGGAACGACAUUGGAACACAGUCACAGCCACAUACGGACCUGCAUGGAGGAACAGCAUGACCUGCAAAGUAUUCCCUGCUGACUGAUUAUGGGAUAAGUCAUACUGUGGUGGUUGAAUAUGCUUAGUCCAUGAGAAGUGGGACUAUUAGGAGAUGUGACCUUGUUGGAGUAGGUGUGGUCUUCUGAAGGAAGUGUGUUACUGUGUAGGCAGGCUUUGAGGGCUCCUCGUGUGGAAGAGCCCCUCCUCCCUGCUGCCUGCUAAGGAGUCUCCUUCUGUCUGCCCUUGGAUUAAGAUGUGGAACUCUCGGCUUCUUCUUCAGCACUGCGACUGCCUCCACACUGCUGUGUUUCCACUAUGAUGACGAUGGACUGAACCUCUGAAACCGGGCCUUUCACUGGGGACACUGAUGCCUUGCUUGAGAGCUGUAAUAUGGUGACCUUUGCAUGAGACCCAUUCAGAAGGAUUUCAGCAUGGUGGAAGAAGGAAGAGAGUCUCUGCAGAUGCUGCUGGACUUAAGCCUUCCUGAUGUGACCACAUGUAUCACUGACCCAACUGGCUGCCUUCUCUGAAAUACGCACUGCUCUGCCCUGAUUCUUUCUUGUGUGAGACCAGUUGGAUCGCUGCGUGCAGUGCUACAGAAGUUCAAUUCCCUGGAGACUUUGGGAUUGGGGUACAAGGCGAGAGAGGGCUCUGGCUCUGUAUUUCGACAAGAGCCUUCCUGAUGACUGCGCAUCGUCCUGGAGAUGAAAGUGCUGGGACAGCUGAGAAAGGUGGUGCUAGUUCGAGGACUCAGUAACCCUUCUCUUGGGCCUCUCAGGACUCUCUGAAUCCCUGAGGUGGAGUUAGGCAGGUUGAUAGUUAGGAGGGUGGGACUGAGCUCAGUUAGGGAAGGACUGGAAUUUCAACCCUGAAAACUUGGACGGAGACAUUUUGCUGUUGGCAUGUACAUGGUGGACAUUGUAGUGACUAAACAGACGAGCCACAGUAGUCAACCACGGGAGUGGAGAGACUCUCUCCUUCCUAGACUAGAAAAGCCACCAGGGUGAAGAAGGGGCAUGCUGGCCAAUGGCAGCACUGUGACCUAAACAGGAAGGGGACAGGAAAGAAAUCCCCCUGGGCCCUCUCACUUCCUGCUCUUGUGCUUUGGUCAGUGCUUUCUGAGAGGCGUCUAACAGCAUGUAAUGGCUCAGGCCUUAGGAGCAGCCUUCUCCCACCCAGGCAAGAACAGCAAACAGACCCGAAGAGGGAGAACUGGGACGAAUGGAGAAGUAGAGGGCCAGCAUCUUCUAGAACUUUCUUGUGGUGGGCAAGUUGACUGCUGUGAGUCAUACUGAUCUCAGGAUUAAGAAGGACACCUGUGGUUAAGCUUCGUGGUACACACUGUGCUGUGCUUGGGACCUGGGAGUGUUAGCUCACCCCUCCUGGCAAUGUUCUACCAAUUGGUCGGUCAGCACAUCAGAGACUGCAUUUUAACUGAGUGUCUUCUCUGGCAUGCCAGCUCAGGUAGGACAUAUUUCCUACUGUAAAUUAUAAGGUAUCAUAUUGUACCUUAUAAUUCCUGCCAUGGUCCUGAAAAUAGAUGGAGGAUAUAAAAUAGAAUGAAAGUAUAUAAAUUAUAGACAUAGUGGAAAUAUAUGCAUAUAUAUGUUUGUAUAAUGAAAGCAAUCACUAGGAGAGCCUGUGAAGCGAUGUACAAUAUAUAAUUUUUGAAGUGACACACAUUUAAAGACAUGAGCCUUCCAUAUCUUGCAUUUUCCCGUAUUCUUACUAUGUCUUGUUCCCCAAGUAUCCAAAUGAAUAAGUGAGAAAAUAAACUCCUGUGUCCAUAUAA